RNAcentral lists this transfer RNA (72 nucleotides) under Loxodonta africana (African savanna elephant). It matches the Rfam family "tRNA". From Rfam's summary of the family: Transfer RNA (tRNA) molecules are approximately 80 nucleotides in length. The record is from Rfam by way of RNAcentral. Lineage: Eukaryota; Metazoa; Chordata; Mammalia; Proboscidea; Elephantidae.
GCCUCAGUGGUUCAACGGUUAAGUGCUCAGCUGCUAACCGAAAGGUUGGUGGUUCAAACCCACCCAGCAGCU